This 361-nucleotide ribosomal RNA is filed under the name uncultured actinomycete. RNAcentral's name for it is "partial 16S ribosomal RNA". It matches the Rfam family "Bacterial small subunit ribosomal RNA", at positions 597 to 959 of the family's 1533-position model. The record is from RNAcentral. Lineage: Bacteria; Bacillati; Actinomycetota; Actinomycetes; Actinomycetales.
AAAAUCUGGGGCUCAACCCCAGACCUGCACUCGAUACGGGUUAGCUAGAGUUUGGUAGGGGAUCACGGAAUUCCUGGUGUAGCGGUGGAAUGCGCAGAUAUCAGGAGGAACACCAGCAGCGAAGGCGUGAUGCUGGGCCAAUACUGACGCUGAGGAGCGAAABGGGGAGCGAACAGGAUUAGAUACCCUGGUAGUCCACNCCGUAAACGGUGGNCACUAGGUGUGGGAACUUUUCAACGGUUUCCNCNCCGCAGCUAACGCAUUAANUGCCCCGCCUGGGAGUACGGUCGCAAGMMUAAAACUCAAAGAAAUUGACUGGGGCCCGCACAAGCAGCGGACGAUGUGGCUUAAUUCAUUGCAA